RNAcentral lists this long non-coding RNA (344 nucleotides) under Olea europaea (common olive). RNAcentral describes it as "long non-coding RNA (OEUR_LNC001426)". The record is from RNAcentral. Lineage: Eukaryota; Viridiplantae; Streptophyta; Magnoliopsida; Lamiales; Oleaceae.
GCCACUUGCUACCUCCUACGAUCUGUCCCUUUAAUUUCUUGUUCUAAACACGAAUCAAGAUUCAAGAUACAUCCUACAAUGUCAAAACGACAUUAUUUGAAAAAAUUUCAUACAAUAUUGACAGCCAUAAAGUUAAGUAAUUGUAGCACAGUAUUAGCAUCAUAACUACUUGAUCUGUCCCAUUCCUUCUUUUAACUGUCAUCAUCCAUCAACACCCAUUGCCACCUAUUAUAGAGACCUGCUGCCAAUUCCUCUAUCACAUGUGCUUGCAUCUCUUGCCCUCAAUACAAAACCUUGUUUCUCUCUUUCCAAAGCACCCAUAUAACACAUCCCAGAUGCCCAAG